Molecule: long non-coding RNA, 2286 nt
Filed under: Penaeus chinensis
Lineage: Eukaryota; Metazoa; Arthropoda; Malacostraca; Decapoda; Penaeidae
Description: uncharacterized LOC125031319
Source: RNAcentral
GAUAAGAUAUAAACAAUUUUAUAGUGUAUACAUUAUUUGAAUACUUAGAAAACAUGAAGAGUAUCAAAGGACUUCAAUUUAAUUUCUGAUCUUGUAAAAUGUCAAUUUACUUAAGGCCUUUUUGUAGCAUCUCGGAACCCCUAACAUUUUGAUACAUUGUUUCAAGUUAUAUCAUGGUUGUUACAAAACACGAUAUUAUAGAAGUUUGUACUAACAUACAGUGUUGAGAAAAGGGGAUAUUCUUUAUCUUAUUUCACAUGAAAAAGUCAAUAGAAAACCAAUUAAGUACUUAUUACGCUGGUAUGAUUAUUAAUUACAAGCAAAACAUUGUGGAAGCUUCAAAUAAAAUGGAAAAAGUACCUGACUGCUUAUAUUGUUUAUACACACCACUCUUUGCUUCGCAAGGCUGUGGAAAGUGUAAAUGUAUUUCUCAUAUUCAGUCAUAUUUUUUUUAUAUUACAUAAAUUGCACUUCAUAUGAAAUGUGGAAGUACCAUAGGGUUUUGGAUCUCAUCGUGAGUGAGUUGCGUGUCUUAAUCGGAUAACUGCUUAAUUCCACUGACCACGGGCAAUUUUCUUGAUUUAUUGAUUGAAGUAUAUUUACAAAUCAGAAUAUACAGUAUUUUCUUUGAUAUUUUUGAGCUUGUUUGUCAUAUCAUUAAUGUAAAGAAUAAUUUUGAAGACAUUCAUCCCACCGAAGUCAAUACCACGUCAUAUGACUCGGAUACGUUGGAAAUUCUUACCAUGUCGUUCUAGCAACCGCCAUGACUGACUUCAAAUCUUACUCAUAUUGAGAGAACAUGUAUUUAAUGUACUGCUGAAAAGGCACAGAAACAUUUUGUAUACCUUUACAAUGAAAAAUUGUAACAAGAAACUUAUGAUGCAAUAAAUAAUUUAUGAAAAUAUAAAUCCCCGUCUGAGACUAUGCAAAAUAUAUCUGAAAAAUAUUGGCUGGCUGGAGUGUAUCAAAAUGUUUGCCUUCAACUUAAUACAAAAUAAAAAGAUAUUUCAACAGGCUCCAAUAAUGUAUGCUUAUAGGGCAGACAUGUAUCAGAGUGUAUCAGCGUUUGGUGUUUCAGAUAUGUUACAAAAGAGGCCUUUAACGUUCGAGUUCUCAGGGUGAUUGAGACACAGGAUCAUAUGAUACUCCUUUAUCGACUCGACACCAAAGCACACAUGCGUCGCCUGAAGCGGGUUGAGUGUUGCUGGGAAAAUAUAUUGUACAGCACCCCACCCCCAAGAUACACUACAUAAUGGUAUUAUGUUGAGGAUCUUAAAUAUUUAAAUACUGGCGUGCUAAGGGAAAAGCAUGACAAAUAUACUAAAUUAAUAAUGAGAAAAAAGAAAUAUGAAUUGUCACACCAUGAAUGAUGGCAAGCAAGUUCAGAGAGGUAGAGGGAGCUGGGUGGGGGGUUGUGUUUGCGUAAGCACUCGUGAAUUUGCGUGCAUGUGAAUUCAUAAUAAAACCCCACUUUAUUAUGAAUUCUCGUUGACUAGAUUGGUGCACCCGUCGGUGGACAGCUGCUCGGAGGCGAGGCUGCCCUUGUCUGUAGUGUCUCAGCUGCACUUUGAUCCUCUGCAACGUGGCCCCAUACUGGAAGGGGGAUAGUUCCAACCAACCUGUGAGCUUGUUUGCAUAGGACAAAUAGCGACCCACAGUGGCAAUAGACCCUGAACAAGAGGGAUAUGCAGAUUGCUAGCCUCGCCGACGGCGCCGUUUACAACCGGGAUCCAGCAUUUGGAUUCAAAAUCAGGUUACGAAGGUAAGGAGGCAGUCGGGCACCGUGGUCCGCCCAUAUCGCCGGUAAACUGAAAGGCUCGACUGAAGUGGCCGCAUAUCUCUACGCAGUCACCCCAAAGAAGCAUUAUCGCCACGGGACCCUUCUGGCAAACAGCACAGCAAAUGUAUCCCGAGUCACCUCCCACGCUGCCCCGGAGGUAGACGUCGCGCCCGGGUUGGAUGAACAAUUAUGUACCUUAGUGUUCAAUUAGUUCUUGAUUUAUUGUGAAUUUCUAUGUUUUGUAACUACUUUCGGGAUUCAGAUUAUUUUUUCUGUUUAUUUUGUAAGGAUAGAAUUGGCCAAUGCCCUUUUUAUCUUUGAGGGGGGCGGGGGGGAUUUGGGAGUUUCUGACUAAUCGGCAACUCAGGUGCAAUUUGAAGCAACCGCUGGUAAUUAAGACCCGGUCAGACGGUGCUAGUUAAAUACGGCAAAUUAGUAAAAUAAAGCUCUGACUAGCAAACUGUGUUCUGUCUUUCCAUCGGAACUAUUAAAACAAUUAACAAAGC